Molecule: ribosomal RNA, 484 nt
Filed under: uncultured bacterium
Lineage: Bacteria
Description: partial 16S ribosomal RNA
Rfam family: Bacterial small subunit ribosomal RNA
Source: RNAcentral
AGUGAACGCUGGCGGCAGGCCUAACACAUGCAAGUCGAGCGGCAGCGCGGUGGCAACCCUGGCGGCGAGCGGCGGAGGGGUGGGCAAUUCGUCGGAAUCUGCCUUUUUGCGUUUUAGAACGGAGUGAAACUGACGCUAAUACCGCAUACGUCCUACGGGAGAAAGGGGGGGACCACAAGGUCUUACGCACUAACAUGAUCCGACGACCGAUUAGCUAGUUGGCGGGGUAAAGGCCCACCAAGGCGACGAUCGGUAGCUGGUCUGAGAGGAUGAUCAGCCACACUGGAACUGAGACACGGCCCAGACUCCUACGGGAGGCAGCAGUGGGGAAUAUUGGACAAUGGGCGCAAGCCUGAUCCAGCCAUGCCGCGUGUGUGAAGAAGGCCUUCGGGUUGUAAAGCACUUUUGUCGGGAAAGAAAUGCAUCGAGCUAAUACCUUCGGGGGAUGACGGUACCGGAAGAAUAAGCACCGGCUAACUUCGUG